UCUCCCGUGAGGGAGCAGUCUCGCCUGACACUUGUAACAGGCAACGAGGGUUGCGUUCGUUUCCCCACUUAAGGGAACAGCUCAAGCCACGAACUGACGACGGCCAUGCAUCACCUGUUCUACACCCUCGAAGGCUUCUCCCCUUUCAGGGAGCGUGCAGUAGAAUUUCUAGCCUCGGUAAGGUUCCUCGCUUAGUGACGAAUUAAGCCCCAUGAUCCACCGCUUGUGCGAGCCCCCGUCUAUUCCUUUGAGUUUUAAUCUUGCGAUCGUACUACCCAGGCGGUCUGCUUAACGUGUUAACUUGCGCCACGAAGAGGGUCGAUACUCCUCAUAGCUAGCAGACAGCGUUUAGGGCGUGGACUAC
RNAcentral lists this unclassified non-coding RNA (364 nucleotides) under uncultured bacterium. RNAcentral's name for it is "contains 16S-23S intergenic spacer region". The record is from RNAcentral.